CUCCUACGGGACGCAGCAGUGGGGAAUAUUGCACAAUGGGGGAAACCCUGAUGCAGCAACGCCGCGUGGGUGAAGGAGCGUUUCGGCGCGUAAAGCCCUGUCAGCGGGGAAGAAGAAAGACGGUACCCGACCAAGAAGCCCCGGCUAACUACGUGCCAGCAGCCGCGGUAAUACGUAGGGGGCAAGCGUUAUCCGGAUUUACUGGGUGUAAAGGGAGCGUAGACGGCUGUGCAAGCCAGAUGUGAAAGCCCGGGGCUCAACCCCGGGACUGCAUUUGGAACUGUGUGGCUGGAGUGUCGGAGAGG
This 305-nucleotide ribosomal RNA is filed under the name uncultured bacterium. RNAcentral's name for it is "bacterial SSU rRNA". It matches the Rfam family "Bacterial small subunit ribosomal RNA", at positions 336 to 657 of the family's 1533-position model. The record is from RNAcentral.